This 9125-nucleotide long non-coding RNA is filed under the name Nicotiana tabacum (common tobacco). RNAcentral describes it as "long non-coding RNA (NTAB_LNC000839)". The record is from RNAcentral. Lineage: Eukaryota; Viridiplantae; Streptophyta; Magnoliopsida; Solanales; Solanaceae.
UCAACCAACUUGAAAAUAUUGUCAUAUUGUAAUAUAUGACAAAACUAUCUUAAUUUUACUGGUAAUUAUCAACAAAUAAAUGAAAAAAUAUUAUGUCACUAGACUAAUAGACUAUAUUCAAACUACUUAACUAAAUUCUUUUAGUAACAACCGUGAAUGUUAUCAUUAAUAAUAAAUAAAUAAAUAAAUAAAUAAUUAAUGUACCUAGAGCACCUAAUCCUACAACCACCUUCUAAAAAGGGAGAAGUGAAACUUACGCCUCAAGACAGUCACUAAUUACAUUAGUAAACUUUGCACAACACAUCUACACAUGCAUUUUCUUAGAAAAUUUAAGUAAAUAUUUGCUACUAUUUCCUUCUUAAUCUGUGUGACUGCCACCUCCGUAUGCACAUUUACGAUCCUUUAAAUAAUUUCCAAUUCCUAGCUCUCCAUAUAUGAUAGAUCAUAGCCCCUCGCCAGAAAUUGCAGUUAUCACAUCCUUCUUGAAUUACUUUGAACGCUUCCUUUUGAUUCUGCCUAAGACUUGCAUCACCAACUUGCAUUUGAAUUCCAGCUCAUUGCAUAAGGGGUUCCCUGGCAGUUUGAGCCCAAGUGCAAUCCACAAAUAGGUCUUGAUUAGUUUCCAGUUCCUGAUUAGUUUCCAGUUCCUGAGUAUCAUAUAAGCAACAUGUCAUAUUUUUCACAUGAAUAUGUAACUUGAGUAAUCUCUAAUUCCUAAGCAACCUUCAUUGAACAACCAACCAUAUUAUAUAUAAAUCUAUAUUUUGGUUGAGCUACUCCACUCCAGAUGGGUUCACUAAUCUCUAGCCUUCUUUAGGUCACAAUAAUGGCAAUUUAACUUGUUGUGACACCAAGUGCUAAGAAGAGAAAGACUUCUAAGAAGAAGUUCACUGCAAAGUCUGUUGAUACAGAAAGCUCUCGCUUGGCAAAAAGAACCAGGUCUGCCAGAAAAUCAAGAAAAGUGCAAAUAGUGGAAGAAGAUAGUGAAGAGGAAGAGGAGACUUAUGGAGAAAAAGACAAGAUGGUUAACUUUGAAAAAAAAACAAUUUUGAAGGGGAGGCUUCUCAAAGAUUUGGAAGAGGAAGGAAGGACAUGGUCCUUCAGUUGGAAGGAAGGUUAGCCCGAGCUGAAAUUGUGGAAUUCUUUGCAAAUUGUGAGACAGAGAAUGGAAGGGUAAACAGUGUGGUGAAAGAAGUGAAGGUGAGCUUUAAUGAUAAUGAGCUAGGGGAGAUUCUAAAGAUACCUGUUGAAAGCUAAAUAAGCAACAUGUCAUAUCGUUCACAUGAAUAUGUAACUUGAGUAAUCUCUGCUUCCUAAGCAGCCUUCAUUGAAGGCCAACCGUACUAUAUAUAAAUCUAUAUUUUAGUUGAGCUAUUCCACUCUAUAUGAGUUCAGCAAUCUCUAGCCUUCUUUAGGUCCCAAGAAUGGCAAUUUAACUUCUUGUGACUUCAACUGCUAAGAAGAGAAUACUUCUAAGAAGCCCCCUGCAAAUUUUGUUAUACAGAAAGCUCUGGCUUGGCAAAAAGAACCAGGUCUACCAGAAAAUCAAGAAAAGUGCAAAUAGUGGAAGAAGAGAGUGAAGAGGAAGUGGAGACUGAUGAAUAAAAGGACAAAAUGGUUAAGUUUGGAAAAAGAACAAUUCUGAAGGGGAGGCUCCUCACAGAUUUGGAAAAGGGAGCAAGGACAUGGUCCUUUAGUUGGAAGGAAGAUUAGUCCGAGCUAAAAUUGUGGAAUUCUUUACAAAUUGUGAGAUAGAGAAUAGAAGGGUAAACAAUAUGGUAAAAGGACUGAAGGUGAGCUUUGAUGAUAAUGAGCUAGGGGAGAUUCUAAGAAUACCUGUUGAAGGCUACAUAAGCAACAUGUCAUAUUUUUCACAUGAAUUUGUAACUUGAGUAAUCUGUAGUUACUAAACAGCCUUCAUUGUACAACCAACCAUACUAUAUAUAAAUCUAUAUUUUGGUUGAGCUACUCCAGUCCAGAUGAGUUGAACAAUCUCUAGCCAUCUUUGAGACCCAAUAAUGGCAAUUUAACUUCGUGACUCCAAAUGCUAAGAAGAGAAAGAUUUCUAAGAAGAAGAUCCCUACAAAGUCUAUUGAUACAGAAAGCUCUGGCUUGGCAAAAAGAACCAGGUCUGUCAGGAAAUCAAAAAAAGUGCAAAUAGUGGAAGAGAGUGAAGAGGAAGAGGAGAUUGAUGAAGAAAAGGACAAGAUUGUUAGGUUUGGAAAAAGAACAAUUCUCAAGGGGAGAGUCCUCAAAGGUUUGGAAGAGGAUGGAAGGGUCCUUCAGUUGGAAGAAAGGUUAAUCUGAGCUGAAAUUGUGGAAUUCCUUGUAGAUUGGGAGAUAGAGAAUGGAAAGGUAAACAAUGCGGUGAAAGGGGUGAAGGUGAGGUUUGAUGAUAAUCAACUAGGGGAGAUUCUAAGGAAACCUGUUGAAGGCUACAUAAGCAACAUGUCAUAUUUUUCACAUGAAUAUGUAACUUGAGUAAUCUCUACUUCCUAAGAAGCUUUCAUUGAACAACCAACCAUACUAUAUAUAAAUCUAUAUUUUGGUUGAGCUACUCCACUCAAGAUGAGUUCAACAAUCUCUAGCCUUCUUUGGGUGCCUAUAAUGGCAAUUUAACUUCUUCUGCCUCCAAGUGCUAAGAAGAAAAAGACUUCUCAGAAGAAGUCCUCUGCAAAGUUUGUUGAUACAGAACGCUUUGGCUUGCCAAAAAGAACCAGUUCUACCAGGAAAUCAUGAAAAGUGCAAAUAGUAGAAGAAGAUAGUGAAGAGGAAGAAGAUACUGAUGAAGAAAAGGACAUGUGGUUAGGUUUGGAAAAAGAACAAUUCUAAAGGGAGGGUCCUCAAAGAUUUGGAAGAGGAAGUAAGGACAUGGUCCUUCAGCUGGAAGGAAGGUUAGCCCGAGCUAAAAUUGUGGAAUUUCUUGUAAAUUGUGAGAUAGAUAAUGAAAGGGUAAACAAUGUGGUGAAAGGUGUGAAGGUGAGAUUUGAUGAUAAUGAGCUAGAGGAGAUUCUAAGGAUACCUGUUGAAGGCUACAUAAGCAACAUGUCAUAUUUUUCACAUAAAUAUGUAAUCUCUACUUCCUAAGCAGCCUUCAUUGAACAACUGAUCAUACUAUAUAUAAAUCUAUAUUUUGGUUAAGCUACUCUACUCCAGAUGCGUUCAGCAAUCUCUAGCCUUCUUUGGGUCUCAAUAACUGCAAUUUAACUUGUUGUGACUACAAGUGCUAAGAAAAGAAAGAUUUCUAAGAAGAAGUCCCCUGAAAAUUCCGUUGAUACAGAAAGCUCUGCCUUGGUAAAAAGAACCAGGUCUGCCAGAAAAUCAAGAAAAGUGCAAAUAGUGGAAGAAGAGGGUGAAGAGGAAGAGGAGACUGAUGAAGAAAAGAACAAGAUGGUGAAGUUUGAAAAAAGAACAAUUCUGAAGGGGAGGCUCCUCAAAGAUUUGGAAGAGGAAGGAAGGACAUGGUCCCUCAGUUGGAAGGAAUGUUAGCCCUAAAAAGUUUAAGAUAGAGAAUGAAAGAGUAAAUAGUGUGGUGAAAUGAGUAAAAGGUGAAGUUUGAUGAUAAUGAGCUAGGGGAGAUUCUAAGGAUACAUGUUGAAGGCUACAUAAGCAACAUGUCAUAUGUUUCACAUGAAUAUGUAACUUGAGUAACCUCUACUUCCUAAGCAGCCUUCAUUGAACAACCAACCAUACUAUAUAUAAAUACUAGAUAUCCCGUGCAUGUGUUGUGCACGGGCCUAACACGACCAUAAGCCUAACACCACUGCACAAAAUAGGUCCGAGAGUAAGAAAGAUAAUUUCAUACUUGUGUAGUAAGAUUACCCCCGAAAAAUAAAAUGACGAAGCAAUACCAUCCGUUGACUAAAUAUUACAACAUAAUACACCACAUUCAUUUGUUUAGCUUCAUUAGUCCAAUUGCAUUUUUAGCUUGCUUCUAUGAGAAUGAGAAAGAUAAAAACAAUCAGAUAAAUCGUGUUCAUGUUGGUAGUCCCACUAAUACAAAAUAUUGGAUAAAAUUUGGACAGUUGCAGUUGACAACAAAUACUUCAUCUUAUAUCCACCUAAAGAAAAGAAAAUCAAGCAUUAGUAUUAUUGGUAAGACUUACAUAUGGUAGUAUAACAAUCAUAAAAUUCAGCUAGUUUGCAUAUUCAGCAAAACAAUCAUAAAUUCAUUAAUUUUGGAGGAAAAAGAGGGGCAUAAAAUAUCAGCAUGGACUAAGAGGAGAAAGAAAAGAUUCAGACACGGUAGACCUAUUGAAAUGCCCCCAUCAAAGGCAUGUUCUAAAUCUGAAUUGGGUCUCUUCUUUUUAGCAAUCUAUAGCUAGGCAUUAAAUAAUGAUUUACAACCUUGGAGGACCUAUUUAGGGAUAUGAACCUUUAACCUAUUUCAUUGGAGGAGACUAUCUUCAUUGAUUUUGGUAUUGAUGUAAUAACUGAAAAGUGAUACACACCAAAUUUAAAAUAGAAAAUCUGCAAUAGAAGCACUACCAGUAAAUCACAAUUCACAACCAUACUCGCAUAUUCUGUGACUUAGGAGAGAUCAUGUAGUGGUAUUUCUAUUUCAAUCACCUGACCCUACUCUAUUCAUGAGAACAACUGCUAUCUAUGUUGAAUGAAUGCGUCCAGGUUACUACAAAAAUUUCUAGACAAAUUCUAACUUCUGCAAAUACUACUUCAAUUGCCUUAUUUCUAUUAUAUACUUACAAGCAACGACCAUCUCAUCAUGACCAUCUAUCGAAGAGAUGCACCAAAAAGAUCUGAAAAACAUAAAGCAGAUAAACGAACCUUCAAAAUAUAAGUUUUGAGUAGUAUUUAAACACAUGUUAAAGGAUACAAUGAAAAGAAGCAUAUUGCCAACGACAAGUCUGUUUUUUCAUUUCCUUGCAAAACUUACUAAUGACAAACUAAGUGAAUGUGUGGGCUAAAGAUGUUGCAACCUGAUCAUUCUAGAUAUGUCCAUGUUAUUGUCCUUGGUGGGGCUUCAGUGAGAGUUCAUCAUUUAUAAUUUGCUGCUUUUGAGGCUAGUGAAAAAUAUUCAACAUGUUGUGCGAGAGAUUUGGAAACAACAGUUAUCACUUAUCACAUGCCAUCAGUUCUUGCUCGAUCCUUAUCUAUAUGAAAUAAAGCGUGCGUCUAUACCGAUAAGUAGAUAUUGAUUGAUCUCAACUAAUCAAGGGGAAAAUGUUUGAUAUUUUGGUCAAUUCAAAAUAUCAUAAUAAAAAUACCCCCGUACCCUGACAACUUAAAAAAAGUGAAAAGAAGAAAGGAAUGUUGAGGCUAGGAAUGAAGUGCAAAGAGAAAACUGGAGAAAUAAAACUCACAUGCAGACAUCCACUAAUCAAACAAAUCAAAUGCUCAAAAAACAAAAUCAGAGAACAUAGCUUACCAAUUAAUACAAUCGCAGCACACCAGAUUGAUCGGCAAAGGACUGUCAAUCCAACUAAAGAAGAUACUAUCAUGUGACAGAAGCAUUAUUCAAAGUUCAAACUUGCCGCAAUUAUUACUCCCACCGUUCCAGUUUAUGUAAACCUAGCUAUUUCCUUUUUGGUCCGUUCCAAAAAGAAUGACCCCUUUCUAAAUUUGGAAACAAUUUAGCUUAAACUUCCAAUUCUACCCUUAAUGAGAAGCUUUUAUAACCACACAAAUACUCUGGUCCCCAUUUUGACUUGUUUAGGACCACAAAUUCUAAAAAAGUCAUCAUUUUUUCUUAAACUCCGUGAUCAGUCAAACAUGUUCACAUAAAUUGGAACAGAGGGAGUAUUAUUGAAAAAAAUGGAAGGGAAGGAAAAGAUAAAGCUGUAAUUUUGAUUACUUUUGCUCCACGCGUAUAGUAGUCACCGGAACAUCUAUGUACAAGAUAAAAAGUCAUAAGCAAGCUGCGGUAAGGACUUUAUUUUCCUGCAAAACAAUUGUUGAUGUAUAGAAAAACAUGUUACUAAUUUAUAUGAGGGAAUCAAUUAGGAUAUUUGCGAACGAACAUUUAAACUUGUUGCUAAAUUUUUAUGUUUGAGUAGCUUAGUAACUUUUAUUCUCUGUGUAAAAGCAUAGGAGUUAGCAGGACUUCAGAAUAUGCAAGCAUUUGAACUAUCUCGGAGGAGUUGAUUGAAAUAUUUCAAGAAUUUCUCAAGGAUUAAUCUUCAUUUCCUGCACAUACUCUAGUCCCUCUCGAGAUAGUAAUUCUGGGGUUUUCACAUUAUAAAAUGACAUAAAGAUGAUCUCCGAAUGAUCUUCUUAGCUGCUACUUGAUUUUCAAAUGUAUCAACCAAAUCAGACAACCCAAUGAAUGAAAGCUCUUAAUCUUCAUUAUACUCCAGCAUAGAGCGAUAAUGUCUCAAAUUCUAGAGUAAUCUUAAUAUCUCGUUCUGAACACUUAUGUCAUUUGAGUAUCAAAUAAAUCUCAGUUGUAACCUAAAAGCAACAACCAUAAAUUCCAGCUUUGUUUCUUUGAUACUAUGUUGUAGAUUAGUUUUAUGGAGUUACAACCAACAAAUCAGAAGUAGAAAGAUUCAAAAAAUGACGAAGAAACAAUAAUAAUUCAACGAUGAUAGAUAAACAAAAUUGAUUGUCCUUGUAAUAUUGCAUAGAUCAGAGAGCUAUUGUUGAAAUGUGAGACCCGUUUGGCCAUAGAUCACUUUUGACACGGAACCAACCCCCAGAGGAAACAGAGGGACAACAACACAAAACUGCAGCACAUCCCUAUUUUUAUUUCUAAAGCAAGAAAGAACAACGACACUGCCACUCUUCAAUUAAUUUCUAAAUCAAUUCCCAAAUAGAAUUUCAGUGCACCUUUAUCAUCUCUCAACGCAAUUCUAAUGUGCAAAGUCGCCCAAACCUGUAGAAGUAAGAGGUUCUUACUCCCAUGUAGUCUAAAUACUUUUUUUCUUACUAUUUUCUUCAAUCCUUUAUCUUCUUUUUUAUAACAAGAAUAAGUACAACUAUAGAUUUGUUGCCUAACAUAAACUUUUCCUAAGCAUUCAUCCCACAAAUCAAAGUAGGCAAAUAACUUUAAGCUUUUCCUAAUCAUGUAUAUUCCAAUCAAUCAACCUCCAUUCCAUACAUCAUCCUAUUUCUUUGGAUGCUGUCAUAGCCAAAAAGAAGUGACAAAAUAAGACGGUAAACUUUCCUCUUCCAUUGUUAUCUUCGAGAAAUAGAGUAAGACAGUGGACACAUAGAAGGUUUGAAGAUGAAAUUUCAUAAAGAUACCCCACGCCCUAGAUCACUUUCAGCAUUCUAAAGAUGCCAAGUGAAUGUAGAAAUUUGAAAGUUCUAAAAGAUGGAUAUAUAUUCUUUGUUCCGAGUUGGCGAUUUUGGUGUUAUAGAUGUAGUUUAUUGUAAGGUCUGUAAUGUUAUUUGAAAAGUGUUCAUGACGGCUAGUAAGAUGAUAAAGCCCAUAAUACUGUAUGUAAUACCCGAAAGAAUUGUACUCUAGCUAGUUUGUUGAACAUACCAUCACAAUCUCGGUGUUGUUUGUAAUUAGAAAAUUUACCUUUUUAAUCAAAAGCAAUAUAAGGAGAAAAUAUGGUCAAAGUAUAGAAUCAGAUAUGCUGAGCACAUUUUUCCUGAAAUAAAAAGAACUCAAUUUAGUAAAAAUUUUGAUUCAUAUCUUCUCAAGCUCAACCUGAGACUAUACUUUCCUAAAGUCGGAAUAGGAUCGUUCUCCACUUCACGAGAUUUUAAAAAGAACAACUUAAUUUUGUAAAUACUUCAUUAAUCAUUUUUCCCAAAUAAAGUUUUUAAACAUAUAAAAUCUCUAUAAGAAGACAAAAGUGAAAGAACACAAGUAUUUUUCUUGGCUGUACAUUAAAAAUAAAAAGAAUGCAUUUGAAACAUUAGUUUGCUAAUUUCAGUACUGUUGAAGAAGCCUUGUAAAACAUUAAAUUCGGAUAGCCUAACAUACAAUUAUUUCUUGUUAGCUAAGAAGUCCUUUAAAGUAUGCAUCAACUACCGUCAACAGUCAGAUAAAUAUUACUUCUCAUUUAAUUCUAUCCUCUCAUGUCUACAGCAGUUUAGAAAAUCCACAAAAUUGUUUAGAUCCUGGGGCCAUCUUACAAUUACACCAAGAAUACACAAACUGCAAUGACUUGAAUUGAAUACAUGCUAAGGCCCAAUAAGUAUUUUGAAAAAAACUAUAGUUUCUUUCCACAUUGUGCAAAAAAAGCACGAAGGAACUUAUUACUGGAUGUCUUUGUGAAUGUAAUAGAAAAUCUCAUGAAUUAAGCAUAAAAAACCUUUUGUUCUUGGGGAUAAUUGCAUUUUUAAUGAGUUACUAAUAUUGAAAAGGGGAAGUAAGUAAAAGUAAACCAAAAUGUGCAGAACUUACCUGGUACAAGUGAAGCAAUAUUCCUUUCCCCACUUUCAGUUAACAACUUCCUUUAAGAAAAAUCUGAAAAAUCAAUAUUUUGGGACCAUUAUAUUCCUACUAAAUGAAUACAAAAAUAUUCGGUAAUAUCAAAAGUUCAUAUUUCAAACAAAACCCAAGUAAGCGAUACACUAUUCAGUUUAAUAGAGUCUCGUCAAAAAAUAAUAAAAUAGGAGUAAUAAUUUUGAAAAAGAAGAAGAUAAACCCAAUUAAAGAACAUUGUGUGAGAAAAAUAUUGUGCAUGAGUAAAUCAAACAUAUCUACUGACAUGUAUGUAUAACAUUCAAUAAAAUACUGCCCAAAAGUUCAAGAUGCCCAAAAAAUUAUAUUAAAAACAGGAUCCAAACACAUGCAUAGCCGAGAAAACAGAGGAAGAUGCAAAGAAGGUGUCCAAUUCCCUGCUUCUUAGUAGGAGAAACUGAUAGAUAAGUCACCAAAGAAACCCCAAAUUUUCCAUCUUUCAAUUUUCUUUUUCAAACUUUCAGUUCAUACACUUUGAAAACCUAAAUAGACACAAUUCAAUAAUGUAGCCACAUAAGACUCACCAAUCCUUGUAACAUUAAAAAAAUUAGAAAUGGUAAAAGAUAAAAGAUAAAAGAUAUUCUCCAUCUUCAUAAUAGCCAAAGGUAACACAUAAAUAUUAAAAAAAUGAACCCAGAUGGGACUAAAUCUAAAAACUGAGCAAAAUAUUAACAGGGGGAAGAAGAAAAAGGCAUCAGCAAGAGAAAGAGUCGGUGGAAGGGAAAUUGAGAAAUGUAGGAAAAAG